This 396-nucleotide ribosomal RNA is filed under the name uncultured bacterium. RNAcentral describes it as "partial 16S ribosomal RNA". It matches the Rfam family "Bacterial small subunit ribosomal RNA", at positions 523 to 918 of the family's 1533-position model. The record is from RNAcentral.
AUACGGAGGGAGCUAGCGUUGUUCGGAAUUACUGGGCGUAAAGAGUACGUAGGCGGUGAUUCAAGUCAGAGGCGAAAGCCUGGAGCUCAACUCCAGAACUGCCUUUGAAACUAGAUCGCUAGAAUUAUGGAGAGGUUAGUGGAAUUCCGAGUGUAGAGGUGAAAUUCGUAGAUAUUCGGAAGAACACCAGUGGCGAAGGCGACUAACUGGACAUAUAUUGACGCUGAGGUACGAAAGCGUGGGGAGCAAACAGGAUUAGAUACCCUGGUAGUCCACGCCGUAAACGAUGAUAACUAGCUGUUCGGGGUCUACGAUCCUGAGUGGCGCAGCUAACGCAUUAAGUUAUCCGCCCGGGGAGUACGGUCGCAAGAUUAAAACUCAAAUGAAUUGACGGGG